This is a long non-coding RNA of Ipomoea triloba (trilobed morning glory), 1249 nucleotides long. RefSeq lists it as uncharacterized. The transcript is spliced from 2 exons. The record is from RefSeq and is a predicted model, not a curated record. NCBI's taxonomy places the organism in Eukaryota, Viridiplantae, Streptophyta, Magnoliopsida, Solanales, Convolvulaceae.
AUAUAUGCAUACUAACAUGGAGAUCACAAACGUAUCUUCUCUACUCUCUUUGUUCAUUUUAGCAAUGGCUUUCAUACUUAGAACCCUACCCACCAACAUCACCACAGAUCAGUCCUCUCUUCUUUCUUUGAAAUCCUCCGCCAGCUUAGCUUAAGUCACAACCAUACAUUGCCAAACAACUGGUCAAUCAGUGCCCUCUAUUUGCAACUGGAUUGGAGUUGUUUGCGGAUCCAAACACCACAGAGUGGUCGAGCUGAACAUAUCGAGUAUGGGUAUCCUGGGUACCCUUCCUCCACAAUUAGGCAACCUCUCAUUUCUUGUUUCUCUUAACAUAAGCCACAACAAUUUCUAUGGAAAUUUGACUAGAGAGUUAUAUAGAUUUUGGCUAUAAUAAUUUUAGUGGAAAAAUUUCAAAAGAGAUUGACAAUCUUGAGAAUACAAAAUGGCUGAUAUUGGAAGUUAACCAACUUGAUGGUCCUAUCCCCUUCACUAUCUUCAACAUUUCCACAUUACAAAAUUUGGUCCUCAACAAUAAUGGCUUAUCUAGCUCUCUUCCAAUGAAGCUCUGUCAACAUGCUACAAAACUCAAAGUGCUUAGUCUGUCUUACAACAAGUUGAGUGGUUAUAUUCCAAAGAAUUUAUCAAGUUGCUCAGAACUUAAACAAGUGGAGUUGGCUCACAACAAUUUUGCUGGAACAAUUCUGAGAGAGAUUGGAAGCUUAAAUAUGCUUCGGAUUUUAAAUCUCAAUUGGAACAAUUUAUAAGGAACAAUGUCAGAAACAAUAUUUAAGAUUUCUAUACUAACUUAUAUAAACAUGGCAAACAACCAUCUAUUUGUCAUUCUCCCGCCAAAUAUGUGUUCACAUCUUCAAAAGCUUGAAAUACUUUACUUGUAUAUAAACAAGCUAUAUGGCAACAUUUCAAGGAGCAUAGUUGAAUGCUCAAUGCUAAAAUCUCUUCAACUUUCUGAUAAUUCCUUGUUAGGUAUGGAAUGUAAAUCACUUCUUUUUUUUAUUGUCUUUCACUCUUAACAUGUACAAUUUUAGUCCUGUCGUCUUCUUUUGCUCUUUUUUCUCUGCCUCUCCUCUCCAUUUUCGCCUCCCCCAUCGCCGUCCACCACACCUACGAUCUCGCACUGUCGCCGCCACUUUUCCUUCCCUUCCGGCGUUCUUCCUCUUCCCCAGCUUCGGAUCUGUCAAGAAGUACAUCACCAUUGAAUAAGGAAAAGAAGGUUUUGGAUUUUGCAAAA